AUUGACUUCUAUCAUGCUAUCAUUUUUUUCUAUUGAAUUAUAUGCUGCUUUUCUUCUUAUUGGAUACUAAGUGGCAGGACAUUCAAUGCUGGCUACAUCUGCCCACACCCAUUUUAAAGGUUGACAGUCAAGUAAAGAAUAACAUUGAAUUAGCAGAGCCUAGACUCCUAAAAAAAUCUGGAGGUGUAAAGAUACUAAACACAUACUCCAUGAUGAAAGCACAGCAAAUUUCCAUAUUGGCAGCUAUUCACCAUCUAGUUGACUAGUCCCAUUAUUACAAAAUUAUGAUGGCAGUCAUUGUCAGUACAGAAUUUUAUCAUUGAUUGCCAUUGUAUGCAUAGAUCAUUGUAAGUUGGACUGUCAUAAGUCAGAUUCUCUCUGUAUUUUCACAUUUUAAGAAUAGAUUAAUCUGCUAUAAAGUGAGCCAUUUCAUUUAAGAAUCUUAAUGCAUCUAAUAUUAUAUGAUAUCUUGAAUGACUUAGAUAUGUCAUUUUCUAUAAUAUAGUGAAAUAUAAUAGUUAUAAUAUCAGAC
This 532-nucleotide long non-coding RNA is filed under the name Androctonus crassicauda. Lineage: Eukaryota; Metazoa; Arthropoda; Arachnida; Scorpiones; Buthidae. The record is from RNAcentral.